This 507-nucleotide long non-coding RNA is filed under the name Homo sapiens (human). Its description in RNAcentral is "HSALNT0375573". Lineage: Eukaryota; Metazoa; Chordata; Mammalia; Primates; Hominidae. The record is from RNAcentral.
CUGAUACCCAAAGUAUAUGGAGAGAUGGGAUCUUGGCUAUGAUUGAGGAGCUUGGCAGAUGAGUGAUGAUGAGGAGUGCUGAUACAGGAGCUUAGAUGAUUCUAUCCAGGUGAACUGGAACCACUGGAUACUGUGGAGGGUCCCGUCGUUGAUCCCUGUUGUCACAUGCAACUAUAUAGAACAUGUUUGCUGGUGUCUGCGCAUACCUGCAGUUUGAAAUAUUCUGUGGACUUGGAGUUGUGAGGUUACAGUACAUUAAAGGCACCUGGACUCCACUAUGAUGACAAUUGUUGAGAGUUCUGUUAUGAGGGCAGGUUAUAGUUGGGUUACCACAAACAUUAACUACAUUAGCAAAAGUUGCAAGAAGAAAAGUAUUUUGGUUUUUCCAUCGCCGUUGAUAAUUGUUAAUUACCCGCAUUGCAUUGGUGCAUUGGAGCUGGUUCCUACUGAUGGACGUCAAACCCCUGAGCCCAGGUAAACUGUGGAGGUUUGACAUGGAGUGAGCCC